RNAcentral lists this long non-coding RNA (264 nucleotides) under Homo sapiens (human). Its description in RNAcentral is "HSALNT0179710". The record is from RNAcentral. Lineage: Eukaryota; Metazoa; Chordata; Mammalia; Primates; Hominidae.
GCCUUAUGAAGAACAUGCCUUGCUUCCGCUUGCCUUCUGCCACGAUUAUAAGUUCCCUGAGGUCUUCCCAGCCUUGCAGAAAUGCACCUCUGAGGCAUUAAAGAACAUUUGGGGAAGCUGAAAUCCAGGAGCUACACCAGCAGCAGAAGUGGCCACUCCUCCAAUCACCUGGCAGUCUUCCCAGGCAGAAGGUAGAAGAUGCCUGGCCUCCUUGCCAGCACUCCUUCCUUGAGCAUCCCAGUGGCCAAACCACCACCAGCCGAC